RNAcentral lists this ribosomal RNA (397 nucleotides) under uncultured bacterium. RNAcentral describes it as "bacterial SSU rRNA". It matches the Rfam family "Bacterial small subunit ribosomal RNA", at positions 361 to 776 of the family's 1533-position model. The record is from RNAcentral.
AUAUUGGGCAAUGGGGGAAACCCUGACCCAGCGACGCCGCGUGAGGGAAGAAGGUUUUCGGAUUGUAAACCUCUGUCCUUGGUGACGAUAAUGACGGUAGCCAAGGAGGAAGCCACGGCUAACUACGUGCCAGCAGCCGCGGUAAUACGUAGGUGGCGAGCGUUGUCCGGAAUUACUGGGUGUAAAGGGAGCGUAGGCGGGAGAGCAAGUCGACUGUGAAAUCUAUGGGCUUAACCCAUAGCUGCGAUCGAAACUGUUCAUCUUGAGUGAAGUAGAGGCAGGCGGAAUUCCUAGUGUAGCGGUGAAAUGCGUAAAUAUUAGGAGGAACACCAGUGGCGAAGGCGGCCUGCUGGGCUUUAACUGACGCUGAGGCUCGAAAGCGUGGGUAGCAAACAGG